RNAcentral lists this ribosomal RNA (261 nucleotides) under uncultured archaeon. Its description in RNAcentral is "partial 16S ribosomal RNA". It matches the Rfam family "Archaeal small subunit ribosomal RNA", at positions 748 to 1009 of the family's 1478-position model. The record is from RNAcentral.
UGGCCGUAAACGAUGUGGACUUGGUGUUGGAAUGGCUCCGAGCUGCUCCAGUGCCGAAGGGAAGCUGUUAAGCCUGCUGCUUGGGGAGUAUGUCCGCAAGGAUGAAACUUAAAGGAAUUGGCGGGGGAGCACCGCAACGGGAGGAGCGUGCGGUUCAAUUGGAUUCAACGCCGAAAAACUCACCAGGAGCGACGGAUAUAUGAAGGUCAAGCUGAUGACUUUACCUGAUUUUCCGAGAGGAGGUGCAUGGCGUAGUCGUGU